Molecule: ribosomal RNA, 449 nt
Filed under: uncultured bacterium
Lineage: Bacteria
Description: partial 16S ribosomal RNA
Rfam family: Bacterial small subunit ribosomal RNA
Source: RNAcentral
AACGAACGCUGGCGGCAGGCUUAACACAUGCAAGUCGAACGAGAUCUUCGGAUCUAGUGGCAGACGGGUGAGGAACACGUGGGAACAUCCCUUUCAGUUCGGAAUAACGUUGGGAAACUAACGCUAAUACCGGAUACGUCCUUCGGGAGAAAGAUUUAUCGCUGAAAGAUUGGCCCGCGUCUGAUUAGCUAGUUGGUGAGGUAAUGGCUCACCAAGGCGACGAUCAGUAGCUGAUCUGAGAGGAUGAUCAGCCACAUUGGGACUGAGACACGGCCCAAACUCCUACGGGAGGCAGCAGUGGGGAAUAUUGGACAAUGGGCGCAAGCCUGAUCCAGCCAUGCCGCGUGAGUGAUGAAGGCCUUCGGGUUGUAGAGCUCUUUUGUCCGGGAAGAUAAUGACUGUACCGGAAGAAUAAGCCCCGGCAAACUUCGUGCCAGCCGCCGCCGUAA